RNAcentral lists this unclassified non-coding RNA (1204 nucleotides) under Amphibalanus amphitrite. RNAcentral's name for it is "myosin light chain 1-like, transcript variant X2". The record is from RNAcentral. Lineage: Eukaryota; Metazoa; Arthropoda; Thecostraca; Balanomorpha; Balanidae.
CCCUCUGCUCCCCUAAAUUGGGAGGGCCACCGAGUGUCGGCCGGUGUGCCGGUUCACUUCGGGUCUAGCCAGCGAGGGGUGCACUGCGCAACAUCCCACCGCACGAACAACAUCAUGGCCGACCUCGCUGCCAGAGAUGUUGAGAGGGCUCAGUUCGCCUUCUCCAUCUACGACUUCGAAGGCAAGGAUGAGGUUGACGCCUACUACCUGGGCGACGUGCUGCGCGCGCUCAACCUCAACCCCACCCUGGCCAUGAUCGAGAAGCUGGGCGGACAAAAGAUCAAGAAGCAGAAGAAGCUGAAGCUGGACGAGUUCCUGCCCAUCUUCUCGCAGGUCAAGAAGGACAAGGACCAGGGUGGCUACGAAGACUUCAUGGAGUGCCUGAAGCUGUACGACAAGGCGGAGAACGGCACCAUGAUGGCGGCUGAGCUGUCGCACGUGCUGCUCUCUCUCGGUGAGCGGCUGACGGAGAAGGAGGUCAACGACAUCAUGGCCGAGUGCUGCGACGAAGAGGAUGAGGACGGCUUUAUUCCUUACGAGCCCUUUGUAAAACGGCUACUGGCCGGCCCCAACCCCGAGAAGAAGUAAGCGCGUCGGCGCAGUUCCUCCGCAGGUAAACGAACCAACAUCUCGACCCAUCUUUCACUGGGAGGUGGCCUCCCGGCCGCCGAGUCACCUGGCGGCCUCGCUCAGCAGCUGUGUGCAGUCUGCGCGUGGUGAGCGCGGCGCCGGCCACCUUCACUUCCAGGGAAUUUUUUUUUAUAAGCUCCGCCAGCUCGAACCCAUACAUAUGUAUAUUUCACUCGUGAUGUGUGCGUGUGAAUAUUGGCGCGUGUCGCGCGCCGCUGUGCGUGUGCGUGUGGCGUGCCGCGUCCGGAGCCCUCUCGCCAGGGCGGACUGAGUGCGAUCUAGUCAGCUCCCGCUGCAGAGAGCGCCCCGACGUAAGUCGGUGUUGACGCUCUGGCGCGGGAGUGCGCGCGCCCGCUCCGCUGCCUGGUGCCGACCGGCCGGCGUGGCGGAGCGCUCGUCUGUCCGUCUGUCCGUGGUCGUCUGUCCGUGGUCCGUGUCCGUCCGUUGUCCGUUGUGCCCGAGUCCUUUCCGUUAACUUGACAUCACAGAAGAGUCAGCAUCAUCAGUCAGUACCAUCCGGCAAAUCUGUUUUAUCAAGUUUCGGAACAAUAUGUAAAUAAAUUUGUAAAUUAUA